UACGAGAGGCCCAAACGUUAUUCGGAUUUACUGGGCUUAAAGAGUUCGUAGGCGGCGCGGAAAGUGGGGUGUGAAAUCCCUCGGCUCAACCGAGGAAUUGCGCCUCAUACUACCGUGCUCGAGGAACCUAGAGGUGAGCAGAACUGAUGGUGGAGCGGUGAAAUGCGUUGAUAUCAUCAGGAAUACCGGAGGCGAAGGCGGCUCACUGGGGGUUUUCUGACGCUGAGGAACGAAAGCCAGGGGAGCGAACGGG
RNAcentral lists this ribosomal RNA (253 nucleotides) under uncultured bacterium. RNAcentral's name for it is "partial 16S ribosomal RNA". It matches the Rfam family "Bacterial small subunit ribosomal RNA", at positions 524 to 776 of the family's 1533-position model. The record is from RNAcentral.